ACGGCUCAGUAACACGUAGUUAAUACGCCCUUAGGCCUCGUUCAAUCCCGGGAAACUGGGGCCGAGAACGGGAUAGGCAAUAACUGCUGGAAUGCUUUAUUGCUCAACUAAGGAUUAGACUGCGGCUGAUUAGGUUGUUGGUAAGCUAAAGCCUUAUCAAGCCGAUAAUCAGUACGAGCCUUGAGAGAGGAAGCUCGGAGAUGGAUUCUGAGACAACAAUCCAGGUCCUACGGGACGCAGCAGGCGCGAAAAUUUCACAAUGCACGCAAGUGUGAUGGAGGAAUUCGGAGUACUCUUCCUUACUGGAGGAGUUUUUGUUCACCUUAAAUAAGUGAAAGAAUAAGUGGUGGGUAAUACGGGUGCCAGCCGCCGCGGUAAUACCCGAACCACAAGUGGUGACCGCUUUUAUUGGGUUUAAAACAUUCGUAGCCGGUUUGGUAAGCUCUCGGUGAAAUAUCACAGUUAACUGUGGUGCUUGCCGAGGAGACUGCCAGGCUAGAGACCGGGAGAAGUCAAGGGUACUGUCGGGGUAGGGGUAAAAACUUUUGGGUGCAGACUUUUGAACAAAUUGCACCGAAAAGGUUGCAAUCCUGUAAUCCUGACAGGACCGCCUGUGGCGUAGGCUGUUGCAAGAAGCAUAUAGUAUAUUGUAGCGGCCUCCGUACAAGGCGCUUGACCAGAACGGAUCUGACGGUGAGGGAUGAAAGCCAGGGGAGCAAAGCGGAUUAGAUACCCGCGUAGUCCUGGCUGUAAACGAUACCCACUAGUUACUGGGGGUCUCAAGGGGUCCCCCAAUGACGUAGGGGAAACCGUUAAGUGGGUACCUGGGGAAGUACGUUCGCAAGGAUGAAA
RNAcentral lists this ribosomal RNA (852 nucleotides) under uncultured archaeon. RNAcentral describes it as "bacterial SSU rRNA". It matches the Rfam family "Archaeal small subunit ribosomal RNA", at positions 85 to 854 of the family's 1478-position model. The record is from RNAcentral.